RNAcentral lists this long non-coding RNA (263 nucleotides) under Homo sapiens (human). RNAcentral describes it as "long non-coding RNA NONHSAT155733". Lineage: Eukaryota; Metazoa; Chordata; Mammalia; Primates; Hominidae. The record is from RNAcentral.
GGAUCUAAGCCAUCUCCUCCAUAAAUGAACUGGAUAAUAUCGCCAGUAGAGCUUCGGACUGUCAGAUCAUACUGGGAGCAAAGAUCUUCAAGAGAUUUGACAAGCCUUCGCUAAAGGUUACCUGCAUGUAUCCCGUUUCAGCUGUCUUUACAGCCGUGUCGACUAGACCUUCCCGGCCGGCCAUUGUGUGGAAGAAAAACUCAGUUGGUGUCAAACCGGAAUAAAAGCUAUUAGCCACAAAGCCUUUGGCAGCUGGGAGCUAA